AUUGAACGCUGGCGGCAGGCUUAACACAUGCAAGUCGAGCGGGGGAGAUUGCUUCGGUAAUUGACCUAGCGGCGGACGGGUGAGUAAUACUUAGGAAUCUGCCUAUUAAUGGGGGACAACAUCUCGAAAGGGAUGCUAAUACCGCAUACGCCCUACGGGGGAAAGCAGGGGAUCACUUGUGACCUUGCGUUAAUAGAUGAGCCUAAGUCGGAUUAGCUAGUUGGUGGGGUAAAGGCCUACCAAGGCGACGAUCUGUAGCGGGUCUGAGAGGAUGAUCCGCCACACUGGGACUGAGACACGGCCCAGACUCCUACGGGAGGCAGCAGUGGGGAAUAUUGGACAAUGGGGGGAACCCUGAUCCAGCCAUGCCGCGUGUGUGAAGAAGGCCUUAUGGUUGUAAAGCACUUUAAGCGAGGAGGAGGCUCUCUUGGUUAAUACCCAAGAUGAGUGGACGUUACUCGCAGAAUAAGC
This 471-nucleotide ribosomal RNA is filed under the name uncultured bacterium. RNAcentral describes it as "bacterial SSU rRNA". It matches the Rfam family "Bacterial small subunit ribosomal RNA", at positions 30 to 491 of the family's 1533-position model. The record is from RNAcentral.